GGAACGUUGGCUGGCUCGAGG
This 21-nucleotide microRNA is filed under the name Aegilops tauschii. RNAcentral describes it as "ata-miR166c-5p". Its record names the gene ata-miR166c-5p. The record is from miRBase by way of RNAcentral. Lineage: Eukaryota; Viridiplantae; Streptophyta; Magnoliopsida; Poales; Poaceae.